UUCAUCAAUUUACAAUGCUAAAUCAAGUUAUAAUUUUUAAAUUACAAUUACAAUCAAUUUACAACCAAAAAUAAAGCCAAAAAUAAAUUACAAUAAAAAUCAAAUCAGGUCAAGGCAGACCAAAAAGCAACUAAUCAGAUAAAAAAAAAACUCUAUAAAUACAUCUUUUUUUACAAAGAGGAGGGACAUUUUUUUUUGGAGGAGGAGAAAUCUGAGCUUAAUACUGAUAAAAAACACAUAAAAAGGAAGAGAAGAAGAAACAGGAGGCAUCACCGUCGUUCUAACUUCCACCAUACACCACCGUUUUUGUCUUCACCAGUAUCUGAAAAGGCAUGUAUCUUCUCAUUAUCUUCACAUUUACAGCUUUACGAACUUUAUAUUACUAGAUUGGAAGCUAAAACUGUUUUAUUUGAAAGAUGGAAUUUUACUUUAUAUUACUAGAGUUUUGUUUCAAUCACUUAUUUACCUAAAAGCUAUGUUGAAAGAUUUUACAUUUGAAUAUGUUUUUCUAUUAAAAUGUUUAUUUAUUUAAUAGAUCAUAUUACAAAUCCAUGUAUUUUUUUUAUCAUUUUGUGUGUGUUUACUACUGACUUUAUUUUGCAGAAUUAUUUAAACUUAUUUCAUAUUUAACAUCAAUUUUUUUUAAAAAAGCAAAGAAUAUUUAUAAUCGAAUUUUAAAAGAUUAAUUAGAUGUGACAUCUUUUAAUGUUUGAGUUGUUAGGACACCAGUGGUACAACUUGAUAGUCCUAAAACUCUAUUUAUUUAUUUAUUUAUUCAUUUAUUUAUCUUAAUGAACUAAUCUAAAAUCGAUUUAUUUAUUAGAUGUAACCUUUUUAUCUUCGAGUUAUUAAAACACAAGUUGUACUACUUGGUGGUUUUAAAACUCAAUUUAAAAAUCGAGAACAAUAAAAUAUUUUUAGAGGAUUAAAUUAGAUGUAACAUCUUCUUUAUUCCUUGAGUUUUGGGACAUAAGUUGUACAACCUGAUUCGUCUUAAAACUCGUAUUUUAAAGUAUUUAUUCAAAUUAAAUUAUUUUAUUUUUUCUAUUUUGUCAAAACUUUUUUUAUCACAAAACAAAUUUUCUUUAAAACGCACUCAACACAUAAACAUUUUCUACAUCAAGAACUACGUAGCUUUGAUUUCUCCAUCGCACCGGGAGAUACGUAGGAGCAAGAUCAUAUUCUUGUCAAGCACAUAAAUAAAAAUUUCUUUGUUUUCCUUUAUUUGUUAAGUACAUAUUUAUUUCAAAAUCAUAUUUUAAGUAUAGUAAUAAUUGUUACUCAUAUUUAAUAAUAAAGAAAAAUAAAUAUACUUAAGUUAAUAUUAAUUUUGCACAAUUAAUUAUUGAUAACCGUAUUUUAACGGAUGUCGUAGGGUGCUAAUACCUUCCUUACGCAUAAUCGACUGCCGAACUCAAAUUUUGGUUUCAAAGACCUUUUUUUUUUUUUUUUUUUUUUACUAUUUUAAGGGUUUCCCAAUAUUUUCCCUAUUUUAAAAUAAAUUUUGGUGGCGACUCCAUUGAAUUCGAGGAAAUUAGGCCGCGACACUAAAGAAAAGGACACUUCCAACAAGUUCUUAGCUUGUGUUAUGUUAGUUUAUUGCAGCCCAUACAUUUAGCUUACAGUCAGAUAGUUAGUUAGCUUUUUGUUUUAAACUUCUCGGUAGUUAUUUUGUUAGUACACUUAAUUGACUAUAUAAGCUCAGUUUGUAACUAGAUCAAUUCAUUCAAUGAGAAAACACAAUGUGCUCUAAAAUCACUUUGAAUUUGCAUGGGACAACAUAUAAGAACAAAAGUUUCAUACAAAACCUGAAGGCUUAUUAUGUUUGUGGAGUUUAAUUUUGCACUAAAAGUAUACAAUUUACUUGUUGUUUAACAUUUUGUUUUUUUGUAGGUUAUUUGAUUGCUAAUUGAUUAUUAUUAGACAAUUUCUUCUCAUGCAUCUAUGUUUCACAUCGUCGUUAUGAUUGUUCAAUCUAAACAUGUAAAAUACACCUAAAGAUUGGCCAAUUCGAUUUUCAGAAAAAACAUGAGUGAGAGAAAAGAAGCUCACUUAUUAUUAAAGUGAGGUGUUUGACAUUUCAAAAAUUCAGAUUUGGAUUGGUCUCAAUAGCUUCUAAUGUGAGUCCAUCCCUAGUUGAGUCACGAAUGUAGGUUGUGUUGUCAUGUAGAGUAUUAAAAAAUUACUAUAAAUAAAAAAUUUAUAAUUUUCAUCAAAUUAUCUUUAUUAACUAUUGAUGUAUAAUGUAUGAUUGAGUUACACAAUUUAAAAAAUAAUUAGUAUUAAAUUAAAAACUUAAAAUGACAUUUAUUUUGAGACAAUUUAUUUUGUUAAAAUAAUCACAUAUAUAUAAUGAAAAACUUAGGGAGAAAUCAUUUUUAUUCAUAUACUACCUUUGUCCUUAUAAAUAUGACCUUCUUGUAAAAAGGUAAAUUGUCCUUUUUUAUAAGGCCCUUUCCAAAUUAUAUGGUGCAUGAUUACUUUUUCACAAGAAUACCUCUAUUUAAAAGAAAAUAAUUAUAAGAUCAUUUUUCUGUUUCUCUUAAUAAUUGAUUGAUAAUUUUAGAAAACGAUCGUACAUCAUUAACACAUUUAAUGUGAUUUUUUUUUUUUAAAUGUGAAUCAAUCUAAUUGUUAUACGUAGGGACGAAAGUAGUACAUCUCAUGAGUCACAUACAUGGACACUACACUUGAAUAAAAUUUAAAAAAUAAAUUUGCAUAUAUAUAGAGUAAUUAUUAUAGCAGCUGUUACCUUUAGCAACACUUAUUGAUAUUUGAAACCAAAAGAGUCGUUAAGCAUCCACCCAAUAAUGCAGCAUGAGAUUCCUUCUAAGAUGUGUGAUGAGCUUAAAGUAGAUGAAAGAGUGAAAAAUUAAUUGCAGCAGUUUUGGGGUGUAAUACAAAGCCAAUUAUAGGAAUUGGAAAGUGGGUAGAGUUUACAUUAAAACUUAGGAACAUGCAUUAAUUGAUACAUGC
This 2976-nucleotide long non-coding RNA is filed under the name Cicer arietinum (chickpea). Its description in RNAcentral is "long non-coding RNA (CARI_LNC002482)". The record is from RNAcentral. Lineage: Eukaryota; Viridiplantae; Streptophyta; Magnoliopsida; Fabales; Fabaceae.